RNAcentral lists this ribosomal RNA (253 nucleotides) under uncultured bacterium. RNAcentral describes it as "partial 16S ribosomal RNA". It matches the Rfam family "Bacterial small subunit ribosomal RNA", at positions 524 to 776 of the family's 1533-position model. The record is from RNAcentral.
UACAGAGGGGGCAAGCGUUGUUCGGAAUUACUGGGCGUAAAGGGCGCGUAGGCGGCCUGUUAAGUCGAACGUGAAAUCCCCAGGCUCAACCUGGGAACUGCGUCCGAUACUGGCAGGCUUGAAUCCGGGAGAGGGAUGUGGAAUUCCAGGUGUAGCGGUGAAAUGCGUAGAUAUCUGGAGGAACACCGGUGGCGAAGGCGGCAUCCUGGACCGGUAUUGACGCUGAGGAGCGAAAGCCAGGGGAGCAAACGGG